This 1146-nucleotide long non-coding RNA is filed under the name Capsicum annuum. RNAcentral's name for it is "long non-coding RNA (CANN_LNC018334)". The record is from RNAcentral. Lineage: Eukaryota; Viridiplantae; Streptophyta; Magnoliopsida; Solanales; Solanaceae.
CCUCAUCCUCAUCCUCUCCACCAUCAUCAUCAGAGCUAGGAGGCGGAGAACAAGGAAGCUAAAUUAAGGUAUUUACUUGAGCCUUGAAUUCUUGGACAUCUGACUCAAGUGUCGUCCUACGUCGCUCCUCCUCCAUCCUUCUAUUUUGUUCCUCCUCGUACUUCCUAGCAAGCAAAUUCUUGUUGCAUCUCCUCAAGUUGCUUAUCUGGAAUGGUGGCGGAGCCCCCUAUACCUUGCAAUCCACACCGGAGGCGAUGAAAGUUCUUCUCAGAGCAAAGGUCAUACGCCCUUCUCUUAUACACGCCACCAAAUACAUCAUGGUUUGAUUGUCUUGAUAAUCUAUCGGCUGAUUCCUUUUGAUUUCCUCAAUUGCUUAAACAUAUUGAUUCUACAUUAAAAGUAAAUUAGUAUAUGAGAAAUGGUACAUGCUUGACAUAACGUGAAUUGUACGGUUAGUUAUUAGAGAAAGAGAACUGAAUGAUUUCAUUUACAUACCACAUAGUGUCAAGCAUAAAAUAUGCCUAACAUUGGCAAAAGGAAUAGAUCAACUCACAUAUAUAUGUACAGUUCAUGUUCUUACACGUGUAAAGACGACAACAAAACCUUUGAGCUAAGCGUCUGUAAGGGCCAAAACAGCCUAAACAAGAACUUUGCACAUAGGUACAAGUUUGGUAUAACGUGAAUUGUACAGUUAUUUAUAAAUUCAAUAACAUUUAAAAAACUAAAAGUUCUAGGCUCUAGCUAAAAACUGAUACUUGUAACUUCACUCGAACAAACAAAAAAUCCAAGCUCUACGUUAAAUCUGACAAGUUCUCAAAAGAUAUACUUCCUCUGCUGACACAACUAAAUAAUCCAUUUGACUCCUAAUCCCACAUCUUAAGACUCACCAAACACAUAAUUGAAUGCCGUACUUGGAUAUUUAACAAGUCCAAACGAAACCAAAGCAUAAACUUUCACAAACAACAGCAAACUGCAAACCACAAGAUACACUUUUCAAGAAGUUUAAGUUUACUACAUAACUUCCAUACUUCCAAAGAAAGGUUCUCUAUACUCGACACUACUUGCCUAUAUUUUUCUCAAUGAGUGAUGCUACUUGUUUAAGCCAGGGCCGGCUGAACAAUGUAAUGUAAAAGCUAUUGCCUUAGG